This 457-nucleotide ribosomal RNA is filed under the name uncultured bacterium. RNAcentral's name for it is "bacterial SSU rRNA". It matches the Rfam family "Bacterial small subunit ribosomal RNA", at positions 340 to 786 of the family's 1533-position model. The record is from RNAcentral.
UACGGGAGGCAGCAGUGGGGAAUAUUGCACAAUGGGCGAAAGCCUGAUGCAGCUAUGCCGCGUGUAUGAAGAAGGCCUUAGGGUUGUAAAGUACUUUCAUCGGGGAGGAAAAAACAAAACUAAUAAUUUUAUUUCUUGACGUUACCCGAAAAAGAAGCACCGGCUAACUCCGUGCCAGCAGCCGCGGUAAUACGGAGGGUGCUAGCGUUAAUCAGAAUUACUGGGCGUAAAGAGCACGUAGGUGGUUUUUUUAAGUCAGAUGUGAAAUCCCUGGGCUUAACCUAGGAACUGCAUUUUGAAACUGAAAUACUAGAGUAUCGUAGAGGGAGGUAGAAUUCUAGGUGUAGCGGUGAAAUGCGUAGAUAUCUGGAGGAAUACCUGUGGCGAAAGCGGCCUCCUAAACCGAAUACUGACACUGAGGUGCGAAAGCGUGGGGAGCAAACAGGGAUUAGAUACC